CAAGAUCAAUCGGAGUAUGUUAUGCCACUGGUUCUAUCUUCUAGGAAUGACAGCAACAAUUGGUGAGAUUUUCUCCUUGUUGUUCAUCUCUUAUAUAUCCCCUUGCUGAUCUCAACAAAUCACAGGACCUCAAGGAAUUCCUCAUGAUAAUCCCUAAUGCACAGAGAUGAGGUUGUGCUUCCUAUUGAACUCCAUGCAGUGAUAUUCCUCGCUUCUUAUCGUGGUUUGCCGCCGUUGCUACUACUGCUGUGCAGCAUGUGCCCUAGCUGCGAUGAAUCCGUUAUGCCACUGCACAUAUUUUCCCGUCGCUGGAAUCCAGGAAUCGUUUGCAUUGUGCUGCGGUAAGGGUCAUGGUUUUCUCUGUUUUUGCUGAGAAACUCAUGUUCAUCAUGUCCCCUCCUUGUUGUGACCUUUCAAGGAAAUACCAUCCUGCUGCAGUGCUUCAUGGAGGCCAUCUCAAUGUGCCGUGUCGCCUUCCGAAACCAGCAGCACAUCCCAUCGAUUGCCAACCGUUUUGCUGUCCAUCAUUGGCGUUGGUCGCCAUCGAGAUCAUGUCCAGCAACAAUGAACCUUGAUGUGAGUCCCUCCCCCCCUGUCUCAAUCUUGUAUACAUAUUCUUUUCCAUAAAUCAUGAGCCAUAGUCCAAGUUUGAUCAAAUUCUGUCAAAAGUUUUCCCGCAAUCGUGUUGCUGUCCUUUUUGGACAGCAGUGUUAUUGCCGGUCAGCGUUCAUGUUCUCCAUUGAUCUGUCAAGCUCUAUGAUGAAUCCUUUGAAUAUAACAUCAUUUAUAUAUUUGCACACGUCCCUGCAAAAUUUUAUAGCGAGAGACUUCAAGAUGAAAGAGAUAUAAUCGUCUUUUUAGUGCUUGCUGUCCCUGCUAUUUCAGCAGUGUUGUGCCUCUGUUUGGUAGUGAUGUUCCCCAUAAUACAUUAGUCAAAUCAUCAAACCAUUCA
This is a long non-coding RNA of Sorghum bicolor (sorghum), 952 nucleotides long. RefSeq lists it as uncharacterized. The record is from RefSeq and is a predicted model, not a curated record. NCBI's taxonomy places the organism in Eukaryota, Viridiplantae, Streptophyta, Magnoliopsida, Poales, Poaceae. The transcript has 2 exons.